This is a non-coding RNA of Podarcis lilfordi (Lilford's wall lizard), 138 nucleotides long. NCBI's taxonomy places the organism in Eukaryota, Metazoa, Chordata, Lepidosauria, Squamata, Lacertidae. The record is from the annotation of a GenBank genome assembly.
AUGAGUUCAAGACAGUUUGACAAGCCAAUGAAAAUAACUUUCCAUUUCACUCUGGGUGUGCUGACCCCUGCGAUUUCCCCAAAUGUGGGAAGCUUGACUGCAUAAUUUGUGGUAGGUUUAGGAUAGGUUAGGCUGAGA